Molecule: RNA transcript, 2028 nt
Organism: Oncorhynchus keta (chum salmon)
Lineage: Eukaryota; Metazoa; Chordata; Actinopteri; Salmoniformes; Salmonidae
Gene name: membrane-spanning 4-domains subfamily A member 4A-like
Exons: 8
Source: RefSeq, a predicted model, not a curated record
AACCAGUCAGAUCCCAAAUUACACAAACAUCCUUCCCUCCUCUGUGAAGAUGUCCAGCUCUCAAACAACCACCACUAAUGGGGCGGUGGUCAUCACCCAUGUCUACCCCUAUGGGAACGGGAUGGGGGUCGCGGGGGUCGCUUCUACCCCUCACUGUUUGGGACAGACGGUCUCCUCAGUGCUGGAAAGUUUCCGGGCAGGGCAUCCAAAAGCACUUGGGACCGUACAGAUCAUGAUUGGUUUGAUGAUGCUGUUGACAGGAAUUGUGAUGGCUAUGGCACCGUCGUUGGAUAACAUUGGUGUAGUCAGUGGAAUAUUUGUCUGGGGAUCGAUCAUUUAUGUAGUUGCAGGCUCUCUCACUGUUGCCGCUGACAACAAACUGGACAAAUGUCUGGUGAAUGGCUCCCUGGGAAUGAAUGUUGUCGCCACGGUUACUGCUCUGACUGGCAUCAUCCUCCAUUCUUUAGACAGUGCUGGGAUCAUGUUGUACUACUGUAACAGUACAUACCAGUUAUGUCAACAGUACUGGAUCAGGUCCCAGGGAAUAUCAGGUGUUUUGGCUGUUUUCUCCUUGCUGGAGUUCAUAGUGUCCAUCUGUGUCUCGUCAUUCGCCUGCAGAGCUGUCUGCCUGUGCUGCCGUUCCACCCCUGAGCAAGUGUCCUCCAUUGGGUAUCAAAUACCGGUACCUCAUGGCAGCGUGACUCCAAGCAACGCACCUUACCCUCCUCAGAACAACUACGAGUAUUCAGAUGCAUCCUGUAUCCAUUGAUCAUCCUUGAGAGGCUUCUACAACUUGAUUGGAGUCCACCUGUGGUAAAUUCAAUUGAUUGGACAUGAUUUGGAAAGGCACACACCUGUCCCACAGUUGACAGUGUAUGUCAGAGCAAAAACCAAGCCAUGAGGUGGAAGUAAUUGUCCGUAGAGCUCCAAGACAGGAUUAUGUCAAGGCACAGAUCUGGAGAAGGGUACCAAAACAUUCCUGCAGCAUUGAAGGUCCCCAUGAACACAGUGUCCUUCAUCAUUCUUAAAUGGAAGAAGUUUGGAAUCACCAAGACUCUUCCUAGAGCUGACCGCCUGGCCAAACUGAGUAAUCGGGGGAGAAGGGCCUUGGUCGGGGAGGUGACCAAGAACCCGAUGGUCACUCUGACAGAGCUCCAGAGUUCCUCUGUGGAGGACAACCAUCUCUGCAGCACGCCAUCAACCAGGCCUUUAUGGCUAGACGGAAGUCACUCCUCAGUAAAAGGCACAUGACAGCCCGCUUGGAGUUUGCCAAAAGGCACCUAAAGGACUCCGACAAUGAGAAACAAGAUUCUCUGGUCUGAUGAAACCAAGAUUGAACUCUUUGGCCUGAAUGCCAAGCAUCACAUCUGGAAGAAACCUGGCAUCAUCCCUACGGUGAAGCAUGGUGGUGGCAGCAUCAUGCUGUAGGGAUGUUUUUCAACUUCAGGGACUAGGAGAAUAGUCAGGAUCAAGGGAAAGAUGAACGGAGUGAACAGCGACACUACCAAUUCAACCUGACAGAGCUUGAGAGGAUCUGCAGAAAAGAAUGGGAGAAACUCCCCAAAUACAGACUGGGAACUACCCAAAUGGUCCUGUGGGAGACGGUAUGGGUACAGGGUUUCAACAGAACCACCUGCCUCCUCAAUACACUGCUGUCAUCCCUUGAAAAUCGGGCCUCCGUGAAUACAUUGUUCUUUUUCUUGUUGAAAUUGUGUUCUUAUGUAGACCUAUGUUUCUGAUGCAAGCCAGGCAAUGGUUAGCAGCACCACAUCACUGAUCUGACAGUUAAAUACUGUUCUUGUAUUGUAAUGUUAUUUAUGAUCUUUUGGCUACUAUAUGGUUAAUAUUUUAAUGUUUUUUUCUGUGUCUCAUAAUUGUCUAUAGAAAAAUAGUAGCCUUCAUUUAUCAACCAAAUCAAAUCAACCACAGUGUAUAAUCUGUCAAUGUUUGUAAAUGACAUGUACCUAUAAUGAUGACAUGUAUUGCAAAUACAUAUGACUGAAUAAAUGGGGAAAAAAUGACAAAGAA